RNAcentral lists this ribosomal RNA (267 nucleotides) under uncultured Thermoplasmatales archaeon. RNAcentral's name for it is "partial 16S ribosomal RNA". It matches the Rfam family "Archaeal small subunit ribosomal RNA", at positions 1072 to 1338 of the family's 1478-position model. The record is from RNAcentral. Lineage: Archaea; Methanobacteriati; Thermoplasmatota; Thermoplasmata; Thermoplasmatales.
UUCUCCGGACGGUGGGCGGCGACAUUAAGGGGACCGGCUGGCGCUAAGUCAGAGGAAGGAGAGGUCAACGGUAGGUCAGUAUGCCCCGAAUCUCCCGGGCUACACGCGCGCUACAAAGGACAGGACAAUGGGAUGCAAUACCGAGAGGUAACGCCAACCCCGAAACCUGUUCGUAGUUCGGACUGAGGGCUGUAACUCGCCCUCACGAAGCUGGAUUCCGUAGUAAUCGCGGGUCAACAUCCCGCGGUGAAUAUGCCCCUGCUCUUU